GCAUGCGCAUUAAUUGUCCGCAAUGUUGGAAAACAAACAAGUGUACCGGAGGCCGUAUCCCCAUGCACCAGUGACUCCAUUAUUUUUUUUAAACUUACACAAACCAACCAGCCUCCAGGUAUGGUUAACUUCUGUGCUGCAGUUGGCUGCUCCAACAGAGCAGGGCUUGACGUAAACAAGUCAUUCUUCGGGAUUCUAGCUGUUCUAACAAGGCAGAAAGAACAAACGGAAAAACUUUCUUCUUAGCGUUAAAGGGAUUGUCUGGUAGCAUUGUCCAGAGCAGAUGUAAACACUACUAAUCUGUUCCAGUUUCGUGUCUGCUCAGAUCAUGUUGUCACUGGGAAGCCAGCACAGCUGUAUGAUUCCACUAAUCCGGACUGGGUUCCAAUCAACAAACAAUCAUGUGUAAAUCAGUGGAAUAUUCCCUCUGUACAGCAAAUUGAAAUAAAAAGUGUGGAAUUAUA
Molecule: long non-coding RNA, 464 nt
Organism: Syngnathoides biaculeatus (alligator pipefish)
Lineage: Eukaryota; Metazoa; Chordata; Actinopteri; Syngnathiformes; Syngnathidae
Exons: 2
Source: RefSeq, a predicted model, not a curated record